This 433-nucleotide ribosomal RNA is filed under the name uncultured bacterium. Its description in RNAcentral is "partial 16S ribosomal RNA". It matches the Rfam family "Bacterial small subunit ribosomal RNA", at positions 29 to 507 of the family's 1533-position model. The record is from RNAcentral.
AACGAACGCUGGCGGCAUGCCUAACACAUGCAAGUCGAACGAGAUCUUCGGAUCUAGUGGCGCACGGGUGCGUAACGCGUGGGAAUCUGCCCCUUGCUUCGGAAUAACAGUGAGAAAUUACUGCUAAUACCGGAUGAUGUCUUCGGACCAAAGAUUUAUCGGCAAGGGAUGAGCCCGCGUAGGAUUAGGUAGUUGGUGGGGUAAUGGCCUACCAAGCCGACGAUCCUUAGCUGGUCUGAGAGGAUGAUCAGCCACACUGGGACUGAGACACGGCCCAGACUCCUACGGGAGGCAGCGGUGGGGAAUAUUGGACAAUGGGCGAAAGCGUGAUCCAGCAAUGCCGCGUGAGUGAUGAAGGCCUUAGGGUUGUAAAGCUCUUUUACCAGGGAUGAUAAUGACAGUACCUGGAGAAUAAGCGCCGGCUAACUCCGUG